GACAGAGGAUGCAAGCGUUAUCCGGAAUGAUUGGGCGUAAAGCGUCUGUAGGUGGCUUUCAAGUCCGCCGUCAAAUCCCAGGCUCAACCCUGGACAGGCGGUGGAAACUACCAAGCUGGAGUACGGUAGGGCAGAGGGAAUUUCCGGUGGAGCGGUGAAAUGCAUUGAGAUCGGAAAGAACACCAACGGCGAAAGCACUCUGCUGGGCCGACACUGACACUGAGAGAUGAA
RNAcentral lists this ribosomal RNA (231 nucleotides) under uncultured bacterium. Its description in RNAcentral is "partial 16S ribosomal RNA". It matches the Rfam family "Bacterial small subunit ribosomal RNA", at positions 524 to 757 of the family's 1533-position model. The record is from RNAcentral.